RNAcentral lists this ribosomal RNA (256 nucleotides) under uncultured archaeon. RNAcentral's name for it is "partial 16S ribosomal RNA". It matches the Rfam family "Archaeal small subunit ribosomal RNA", at positions 727 to 982 of the family's 1478-position model. The record is from RNAcentral.
CAUUAGAUACCCGUGUAGUCCCAGCCGUAAACUAUGCUCGCUAGGUGUCAGGCAUGGCGCGACCGUGUCUGGUGCCGCAGGGAAGCCGUGAAGCGAGCCACCUGGGAAGUACGGCCGCAAGGCUGAAACUUAAAGGAAUUGGCGGGGGAGCACAACAACGGGUGGAGCCUGCGGUUUAAUUGGACUCAACGCCGGACAACUCACCGGGGACGACAGCAAUAUGUAGGCCAGGCUGAAGACCUUGCCUGAAUCGCUG